Molecule: small nucleolar RNA, 214 nt
Organism: Myodes glareolus (Bank vole)
Lineage: Eukaryota; Metazoa; Chordata; Mammalia; Rodentia; Cricetidae
Product: small nucleolar RNA U3
Source: RefSeq, a predicted model, not a curated record
AAGACUAUACUUGCAGGGAUCAGAUAUGGUCCAUGACUAGAGAAGUUUCUGGGACUGUGUAGAGUGUCCGAGCCCACAAGGAUUAAAAGAAACCUUCCCUCCUGAGUGAGAAGCUGCUUCUUGGUCUUGCUUUCCUGCAGCUGCCUCUUGCCAUUGCUAAUUGUUGUUCUCUUCCUUUGGGAGAGGGAGAGACAGAGAAGGCAUUCUGAGUGGA